Molecule: long non-coding RNA, 1033 nt
Organism: Sorghum bicolor (sorghum)
Lineage: Eukaryota; Viridiplantae; Streptophyta; Magnoliopsida; Poales; Poaceae
Exons: 6
Source: RefSeq, a predicted model, not a curated record
UAUAUGUAUAUGUAUAUGUAUAUGUAUAUGUAUAUGUAUAUGUAUAUGUAUAUGUAUAUGUAUAUGUAUAUGUAUAUGUAUAUGUAUAUGUAUAUGUAUAUGUAUAUGUAUAUGUACCAUGCAAUCCUUCCGUUUGAUCCCUACAUUGUUGUUUUAUAGGUCACUUCAAGAAAAUAGAAUGGCUGACAAAAUUCCAAAAGUGAUUGGCAUCACGUAGGCUCUUGUUCUCCUAUGAGUACAAAAGAGACACUUGAAUCAAUGCUUAUGGAUCUCUUUAUCUUUACUAGCCAUGAGUUCUGUUUCAAAUUGUUUCUCAGAUACCUUAGCAAGAAUGAACUGGUGGAGUCGAUUCCUCAUAUACUUGGCAACCUAUCCUACAUAGUUAAUGUCACAAACCAGAAAUGGAGUCCUGAUAGUAGCCGAAACAUUUCAGGAUGUAGAUAGCAUGUCAAUGAAGAAUUCUGCUUCAAGCAUGCUUAGUGGAAAGAAGCCUGCCCAAGCAGUGGUUAGUUUGGUUGGAUGCAUAUUUGAUGAGUUUUCUCUUAUUGCAUUUUCUGCUAUCAUUGGCACGGGAACUGGAGAUCACCUUAACACCUGGUGUUUUCAGAGCUGAGAAAAGUUGAGGUGCAACAAUGUUUGUGGCCUUUGCAUAGUCAGCCUGCUAGCAGCAGUGUGCAGCCAGCCGCUGGAUUUCAAUCAAAAAGGUGAUAGAAUUCAUGUGCUAUAGGCACCUGAAACACACAAAUGUGUCUUUGAUGGAGAUCGUGAGUGUUUCACAUGCAGACAAUAACCGAGUGCUAGCUUCUGCUAAAACACACAAAUUUGUCUCUGUUGGAAAUCAUGUGUUUUACUUGUAGCCAACAACCAAGUGCUGACUUCUGCUAAAACACAUGGUUGUAUGGUAGACAGACUCCUUUUCCUUCCUUAACUUCUACUGUUUUUCCUCCUUCAACUUCAAAACCGAGCAAUUUAUCUUCCUAAACUUUUCAAACCGUGAAUUUUACUUCCUUAUAGUGGUUUUGAAGACGGUUUU